AUUGAACGCUGGCGGCAGGCUUAACACAUGCAAGUCGAGCGGGGUGAUGGUGCUUGCACUAUCACUUAGCGGCGGACGGGUGAGUAAUGCUUAGGAAUCUGCCUAUUAGUGGGGGACAACAUCUCGAAAGGGAUGCUAAUACCGCAUACGUCCUACGGGAGAAAGCAGGGGAUCACUUGUGACCUUGCGCUAAUAGAUGAGCCUAAGUCGGAUUAGCUAGUUGGUGGGGUAAAGGCCUACCAAGGCGACGAUCUGUAGCGGGUCUGAGAGGAUGCUCCGCCACACUGGGGCGGGAACACGGCCCAGAGUCCUACGGGAGGCAGCAGUGGGGAAUAUUGGACAAUGGGGGGAACCCUGAUCCAGCCAUGCCGCGUGUGUGAAGAAGGCCUUAUGGUUGUAAAGCACUUUAAGCGAGGAGGAGGCUCUUUUGGUUAAUACCCAAGAUGAGUGGACGUUACUCGCAGAAUAAGCACCGGCUAACUCUGUGCCAGCCGCCGCCGUAA
This 503-nucleotide ribosomal RNA is filed under the name uncultured bacterium. RNAcentral's name for it is "partial 16S ribosomal RNA". It matches the Rfam family "Bacterial small subunit ribosomal RNA", at positions 30 to 523 of the family's 1533-position model. The record is from RNAcentral.